GAUGAACGCUGGCGGCGUGCUUAACACAUGCAAGUCGAACGGGAAUUAUUUUAUUGAAACUUCGGUCGAUUUAAUUUAAUUCUAGUGGCGGACGGGUGAGUAACGCUUGGGUAACCUGCCUUAUACAGGGGGAUAACAGUCAGAAAUGGCUGCUAAUACCGCAUAAGCGCACAGAGCUGCAUGGCUCAGUGUGAAAAACUCCGGUGGUAUAAGAUGGACCCGCGUUGGAUUAGCUGGUUGGUGGGGUAACGGCCCACCAAGGCGACGAUCCAUAGCCGGCCUGAGAGGGUGAACGGCCACAUUGGGACUGAGACACGGCCCAGACUCCUACGGGAGGCAGCAGUGGGGAAUAUUGCACAAUGGGGGAAACCCUGAUGCAGCGACGCCGCGUGAAGGAAGAAGUAUCUCGGUAUGUAAACUUCUAUCAGCAGGGAAGAUAGUGACGGUACCUGACUAAGAAGCCCCGGCUAACUACGUG
This 478-nucleotide ribosomal RNA is filed under the name uncultured bacterium. RNAcentral's name for it is "partial 16S ribosomal RNA". It matches the Rfam family "Bacterial small subunit ribosomal RNA", at positions 28 to 507 of the family's 1533-position model. The record is from RNAcentral.